CCUACGGGUGGCAGCAGUGGGGAAUAUUGCACAAUGGGGGAAACCCUGAUGCAGCGACGCCGCGUGAGUGAAGAAGUAUUUCGGUAUGUAAAGCUCUAUCAGCAGGGGAGAAAAUGACGGUACCUGUUUAAGAAGCCCCGGCUAACUACGUUCCAGCAGCCGCGGGAAUACGGAGGGGGCCAGCGUUAUCCGGAUUUACUGGGUGUAAAGGGCGCGUAGACGGCAGCACAAGUCUGGAGUGAAAUGCCGGGGCUUAACCCCGGAACUGCCUUGGAAACUGUGCAGCUCGAGUGCAGGAGAGGUAAGUGGAAUUCCUAGUGUAGCGGUGAAAUGCGUAGAUAUUAGGAGGAACACCAGUGGCGAAGGCGGCUUACUGGACUGUAACUGACGUUGAGGCUCGAAAGCGUGGGGAGCAAACAGGAUUAGAUACCCCGGUAGUC
This 440-nucleotide ribosomal RNA is filed under the name uncultured bacterium. RNAcentral's name for it is "partial 16S ribosomal RNA". It matches the Rfam family "Bacterial small subunit ribosomal RNA", at positions 338 to 795 of the family's 1533-position model. The record is from RNAcentral.